GCAGUUUCCUGAUAAGUGUGUUUCCGGCUUUUGAAGUUAUGUCUGCCGAAAACCACAUCUGGUUCACCGCCGCCUCAACAGACACACAAUGAAAUACAAAAGGCUAAUUCUGCUGUGUACGCAAUCCAUGUUUCUUUCCCCAGAGGAUUCCAGAUGGAGUGAACUCAGUAGAGGCGGUGCUUCGACGGCUGAUGAUCUUGCGGAGAGGAGAGAGGAGCAUUAGUUACGGUUUUAAGUCCCGGCUGAACUGGCAGGGGUUACAUGACCUCAGACUCAGGGGUAAGUGCGCAAGCUCUCGCCCCUGGAAGGGCUGUGAUGCCUUUCAACAGCCACACCUCUCCGUUGAACCCAUCAACACCCUUUGUGCAGAGCCUUGUUAAGGAUGUGCAUGCUUCUCCUUUGCCUUCCACCGUGAUUGUAAGUUUCCUGAGGCCUUCCCAGCAAUGCAGAACCGGCUCACCGGCAGCUGUUCUCCCCAUCCGUGUGCAGGGACGUCUCGGCCCGUCGAAGACCCAGGCGGGCAAAGGAGUGGUACAAGCCAGGUUUGGGCACCAUGUGAUAAGAUGACCUGCAGGUCUGGCCUUGGAUUUCUGCAGAGGUUUGUUGGGAAGGCAUCACUUAGGAGGCUGGCAGACCAUGAGAAAGUCUCACCUGGAAGCGGUGGAAGUCCUGCGGCUUGAAGUCAUUGGGGGAGCAGCCGCACCAGUCCACGAUGUGCUUGUACUGGCACUUGCAGCCCAGCUUGCGAUUCCAGUUGGUGAUGCGCAGGUUGUUGUCCACCAUGGUGUCGCAGUGGGGGCUGUUCUCCAGGACCGUAUGGAAGAAGGACUGCAGGGGAGAGAGGGACCCAGCCUGAGACCUCUCCCAGCCUCCCACAGAUGAACUGGGGUGGGAAAUGGUGAACCCUUGCUCUGAGUUCAUGUAAGAACUGGUUGUUUAAAAGAAUGUGGCAUCUCAUCAGAAGCUGGGCGGCUUCCUGUACAGCUUGCAGAACUGCAAGCCAAAUAAACCUCUUUUCUUUAUAAAUUACCAAGCCUCAGAUUUUCCUUCAUAGCAAUGCAAAAAUGUAUAACACAACUACCUGACUGUCAAGGGACUCUUAUGUUCUCUGCAUGCAUUUGAGGUCAGCUGCCCAUGUGGUCCAACUCAGAGCGCAGGCGGAUGCUCUGUCCAACAGACAAAUCAAAGGGAUUCAAGUCUGACUGACUGACUGGUGUGCUGGAAUUUCACCCCUGGGGUAGGGAGACCAGAUUGAUGGUUGCAUUAGACCCAG
Molecule: long non-coding RNA, 1273 nt
Filed under: Homo sapiens (human)
Lineage: Eukaryota; Metazoa; Chordata; Mammalia; Primates; Hominidae
Description: HSALNT0228248
Source: RNAcentral